AACGAACGCUGGCGGCAGGCCUAACACAUGCAAGUCGAGCGCUACCUUCGGGUGGAGCGGCGGACGGGUUAGUAACGCGUGGGAACAUACCCUUCCCUAAGGAAUAGCCACUGGAAACGGUGAGUAAUACCUUAUACGCCCUUCGGGGGAAAGAUUUAUCGGAGAAGGAUUGGCUCGCGUAAGAUUAGAUAGUUGGUGGGGUAAUGGCCUACCAAGUCUACGAUCUUUAGCUGGUUUUAGAGGAUGAUCAGCAACACUGGGACUGAGACACGGCCCAG
Molecule: ribosomal RNA, 278 nt
Filed under: uncultured bacterium
Lineage: Bacteria
Description: partial 16S ribosomal RNA
Rfam family: Bacterial small subunit ribosomal RNA
Source: RNAcentral